This 474-nucleotide ribosomal RNA is filed under the name uncultured bacterium. Its description in RNAcentral is "SSU rRNA". It matches the Rfam family "Bacterial small subunit ribosomal RNA", at positions 26 to 518 of the family's 1533-position model. The record is from RNAcentral.
AGGACGAACGCUGGCGGCGUGCUUAACACAUGCAAGUCGAGCGGAAAGGCCCUUCGGGGUACUCGAGCGGCGAACGGGUGAGUAACACGUGAGUAAUCUGCCCCUAGCUCUGGGAUAGCUCCGGGAAACCGGGAUUAAUACCGGAUACGACCACCUUAGACAUCUUUUGUGGUGGAAAGAAUUUCGGCUAGGGAUGAGCUCGCGGCCUAUCAGCUUGUUGGUGGGGUAACGGCCUACCAAGGCGACAACGGGUAGCCGGCCUGAGAGGGCGACCGGCCACACUGGGACUGAGACACGGCCCAGACUCCUACGGGAGGCAGCAGUGGGGAAUAUUGCGCAAUGGGCGAAAGCCUGACGCAGCGACGCCGCGUGGGGGAUGAAGGCCUUCGGGUUGUAAACCCCUUUCAGCAGGGACGAAGCGAAAGUGACGGUACCUGCAGAAGAAGCGCCGGCUAACUACGUGCCAGCAGCCGC